This 784-nucleotide ribosomal RNA is filed under the name Tetanocera robusta. RNAcentral describes it as "eukaryotic LSU rRNA". It matches the Rfam family "Eukaryotic large subunit ribosomal RNA", at positions 162 to 807 of the family's 3401-position model. The record is from RNAcentral. Lineage: Eukaryota; Metazoa; Arthropoda; Insecta; Diptera; Sciomyzidae.
UCUAAUAUGACAAAUUGACGAUUUAAGUCCCUCUCAAAAGAGGCCAUUUACCCAUAGAGGGUGCCAGGCCCGUAUAACGUUAAUGAUUAUUAGAAGAUGUUUCCAAAGAGUCGUGUUGCUUGAUAGUGCAGCACUAAGUGGGUGGUAAACUCCAUCUAAAACUAAAUAUAACCAUGAGACCGAUAGUAAACAAGUACCGUGAGGGAAAGUUGAAAAGAACUCUGAAUAGAGAGUUAAAUAGUACGUGAAACUGCUUAGAGGUUAAGCCCGAUGAACCUGAAUAUUCAUUAUAGAAAAUUCAACAUAUGCCUGUAGUAUAUCAAAAAUACUAUAGAAAUAUUGUGCAUUUUUUCUAUAUAAGAACAUUGUAAUCUAUUAACAUAUUAUAUAUUUAUCAUAAGAUCAUAGGCUUAAGUUUAUUCAAAUUGAGUUGCUUGCAAUUUAACAUCGAAUAAAUGCUUUUGAUUUGAUAAAGUGUUGAUAGAUUUAUCAAAUUAGUGCUUAAAUUCAUUUGAAUUUUUCAAUUGCAUGAAUUUCUUAUGAUUUUUGUGUGGAUUGUAUGCGCUUAAUUGAUUAACAAUGCAAUAGAUUCAGGAUACCUUCGGGACCCGUCUUGAAACACGGACCAAGGAGUCUAACAUAUGUGCAAGUCAUUGGGAUUAUAUAAUUAAACCCAAAGGCGUAAUUAACUUAACUUUUAUAAUGGGAUUAGUUUUUAGUCUAUUUUAUAGUCUAUUAAUUCAAUCCCGGGGGCGUUCUAUUAGUUAUGUAUAAUAGUAUUUAU